GGUUAAGCGACUAAGCGUACACGGUGGAUGCCCUGGCAGUCAGAGGCGAUGAAGGGCGUACUAAUCUGCGAUAAGCGCCGGUAAGGUGAUAUGAACCGUUAUAACCGGCGAUACCCGAAUGGGGAAACCCAGUGUGAUUCGUCACACUAUCAUUAACUGAAUCCAUAGGUUAAUGAGGCGAACCGGGGGAACUGAAACAUCUAAGUACCCCGAGGAAAAGAAAUCAACCGAGAUUCCCCCAGUAGCGGCGAGCGAACGGGGAGGAGCCCAGAGCCUGAAUCAGCAUGUGUGUUAGUGGAAGCGUCUGGAAAGGCGCGCGAUACAGGGUGACAGCCCCGUACACAAAAGCGCAUGUGCUGUGAGCUCGAUGAGUAGGGCGGGACACGUGGUAUCCUGUCUGAAUAUGGGGGGACCAUCCUCCAAGGCUAAAUACUCCUGACUGACCGAUAGUGAACCAGUACCGUGAGGGAAAGGCGAAAAGAACCCCGGCGAGGGGAGUGAAAAAGAACCUGAAACCGUGUACGUACAAGCAGUGGGAGCACCCUUUGGGUGUGACUGCGUACCUUUUGUAUAAUGGGUCAGCGACUUAUAUUCUGUAGCAAGGUUAACCGAAUAGGGGAGCCGGAGGGAAACCGAGUCUUAACCGGGCGUUAAGUUGCAGGGUAUAGACCCGAAACCCGGUGAUCUAGCCAUGGGCAGGUUGAAGGUUGGGUAACACUAACUGGAGGACCGAACCGACUAAUGUUGAAAAAUUAGCGGAUGACCUGUGGCUGGGGGUGAAAGGCCAAUCAAACCGGGAGAUAGCUGGUUCUCCCCGAAAGCUAUUUAGGUAGCGCCUCGUGAAUUCAUCUCCGGGGGUAGAGCACUGUUUCGGCUAGGGGGCCAUCCCGGCUUACCAACCCGAUGCAAACUGCGAAUACCGGAGAAUGUUAUCACGGGAGACACACGGCGGGUGCUAACGUCCGUCGUGAAGAGGGAAACAACCCAGACCGCCAGCUAAGGUCCCAAAGUCAUGGUUAAGUGGGAAACGAUGUGGGAAGGCCCAGACAGCCAGGAUGUUGGCUUAGAAGCAGCCAUCAUUUAAAGAAAGCGUAAUAGCUCACUGGUCGAGUCGGCCUGCGCGGAAGAUGUAACGGGGCUAAACCAUGCACCGAAGCUGCGGCAGCGACACUGUGUGUUGUUGGGUAGGGGAGCGUUCUGUAAGCCUGUGAAGGUGUGUCGUGAGGC
Molecule: ribosomal RNA, 1227 nt
Filed under: Salmonella enterica
Lineage: Bacteria; Pseudomonadati; Pseudomonadota; Gammaproteobacteria; Enterobacterales; Enterobacteriaceae
Also listed under: 1 other name
Description: partial 23S ribosomal RNA
Rfam family: Bacterial large subunit ribosomal RNA
Source: RNAcentral